GUGCUUAACACAUGCAAGUCGAACGGAAAGGCCCCUUCGGGGGUACUCGAGUGGCGAACGGGUGAGUAACACGUGGGUGAUCUGCCCUGCACUUUGGGAUAAGCCUGGGAAACUGGGUCUAAUACCGAAUACACCCUUCUGAUCGCAUGGUCUGGGAGGGGAAAGCUUUUGCGGUGUGGGAUGGGCCCGCGGCCUAUCAGCUUGUUGGUGGGGUGAUGGCCUACCAAGGCGACGACGGGUAGCCGGCCUGAGAGGGUGUCCGGCCACACUGGGACUGAGAUACGGCCCAGACUCCUACGGGAGGCAGCAGUGGGGAAUAUUGCACAAUGGGCGCAAGCCUGAUGCAGCGACGCCGCGUGGGGGAUGACGGCCUUCGGGUUGUAAACCUCUUUCAGCAUCGACGAAGCGCAAGUGACGGUAGAUGCAGAAGAAGCACCGGCCAACUACGUGCCAGCAGCCGCGGUAAUACGUAGGGUGCGAGCGUUGUCCGGAAUUACUGGGCGUAAAGAGCUCGUAGGUGGUUUGUCGCGUUGUUCGUGAAAUC
Molecule: ribosomal RNA, 544 nt
Filed under: Mycolicibacterium confluentis
Lineage: Bacteria; Bacillati; Actinomycetota; Actinomycetes; Mycobacteriales; Mycobacteriaceae
Description: bacterial SSU rRNA
Rfam family: Bacterial small subunit ribosomal RNA
Source: RNAcentral